GAUGAACGCUGGCGGCGUGCUUAACACAUGCCAGUCGAACGAAGCAUUUAGGACAGAUUACUUCGGUUUGAAGUUCUUUAUGACUGAGUGGCGGACGGGUGAGUAACGCGUGGGUAACCUGCCUUGUACUGGGGGAUAGCAGCUGGAAACGGCUGGUAAUACCGCAUAAGCGCACAAUGUUGCAUGACAUGGUGUGAAAAACUCCGGUGGUAUAAGAUGGACCCGCGUCUGAUUAGCUAGUUGGUGAGAUAACAGCCCACCAAGGCGACGACCAGUAGCCGACCUGAGAGGGUGACCGGCCACAUUGGGACUGAGACACGGCCCAGACUCCUACGGGAGGCAGCAGUGGGGAAUAUUGCACAAUGGAGGAAACUCUGAUGCAGCGACGCCGCGUGAGUGAAGAAGUAAUUCGUUAUGUAAAGCUCUAUCAGCAGGGAAGAUAGUGACGGUACCUGACUAAGAAGCGCCGGCUAAAUACGUG
Molecule: ribosomal RNA, 481 nt
Filed under: uncultured bacterium
Lineage: Bacteria
Description: partial 16S ribosomal RNA
Rfam family: Bacterial small subunit ribosomal RNA
Source: RNAcentral